UUUAACUGAAGAGUUUGAUCAUGGCUCAGAUUGAACGCUGGCGGCAGGCUUAACACAUGCAAGUCGAGCGGGGGAAGGUAGCUUGCUACUGGACCUAGCGGCGGACGGGUGAGUAAUGCUUAGGAAUCUGCCUAUUAGUGGGGGACAACAUCUCGAAAGGGAUGCUAAUACCGCAUACGUCCUACGGGAGAAAGCAGGGGAUCUUCGGACCUUGCGCUAAUAGAUGAGCCUAAGUCGGAUUAGCUAGUUGGUGGGGUAAAGGCCUACCAAGGCGACGAUCUGUAGCGGGUCUGAGAGGAUGAUCCGCCACACUGGGACUGAGACACGGCCCAGACUCCUACGGGAGGCAGCAGUGGGGAAUAUUGGACAAUGGGGGGAACCCUGAUCCAGCCAUGCCGCGUGUGUGAAGAAGGCCUUAUGGUUGUAAAGCACUUUAAGCGAGGAGGAGGCUACUUUAGUUAAUACCUAGAGAUAGUGGACGUUACUCGCAGAAUAAGCACCGGCUAACUCUGUGCCAGCAGCCGCGGUAAUACAGAGGGUGCGAGCGUUAAUCGGAUUUACUGGGCGUAAAGCGUGCGUAGGCGGCUUAUUAAGUCGGAUGUGAAAUCCCCGAGCUUAACUUGGGAAUUGCAUUCGAUACUGGUGAGCUAGAGUAUGGGAGAGGAUGGUAGAAUUCCAGGUGUAGCGGUGAAAUGCGUAGAGAUCUGGAGGAAUACCGAUGGCGAAGGCAGCCAUCUGGCCUAAUACUGACGCUGAGGUACGAAAGCAUGGGGAGCAAACAGGAUUAGAUACCCUGGUAGUCCAUGCCGUAAACGAUGUCUACUA
Molecule: ribosomal RNA, 825 nt
Filed under: Acinetobacter baumannii
Lineage: Bacteria; Pseudomonadati; Pseudomonadota; Gammaproteobacteria; Moraxellales; Moraxellaceae
Description: bacterial SSU rRNA
Rfam family: Bacterial small subunit ribosomal RNA
Source: RNAcentral